Long non-coding RNA from Chelonia mydas (Green sea turtle), 210 nucleotides. RefSeq lists it as uncharacterized. The record is from RefSeq and is a predicted model, not a curated record. Lineage: Eukaryota; Metazoa; Chordata; Testudines; Cheloniidae. The transcript is spliced from 2 exons.
GGAAGAGGUAAUUCCCUGAGAGACCAGCAGGAGGCGCCGCAGGGGCCCUGAUUUUGCUCUUGCUUGAACCAGCUGCAAAUCAAGAGAAGCUCCACAGAAGUGACUGGAGGUCAAAGCUUGCUCAGCAGAAUUGGAGACCAUCUGCAGCAGAGAACACAUUUGUGAAUUCAGGAAAUGGAAAUAUGAACAAUAAAGUCUUGUUAAAAUAGG